GGUUGUCCCGGUUUAAGCGUGUAGGUGUGUGUUCCAGGUAAAUCCGGUUCACUUUAACACUGAGGCGUGACGACGAGGCACUACGGUGCUGAAGCAACAAAUGCCCUGCUUCCAGGAAAAGCCUCUAAGCAUCAGGUAACAUCAAAUCGUACCCCAAACCGACACAGGUGGUCAGGUAGAGAAUACCAAGGCGCUUGAGAGAACUCGGGUGAAGGAACUAGGCAAAAUGGUGCCGUAACUUCGGGAGAAGGCACGCUGACACGUAGGUGAAGUGAUUUACUCAUGGAGCUGAAGUCAGUCGAAGAUACCAGCUGGCUGCAACUGUUUAUUAAAAACACAGCACUGUGCAAACACGAAAGUGGACGUAUACGGUGUGACGCCUGCCCGGUGCCGGAAGGUUAAUUGAUGGGGUCAGCGCAAGCGAAGCUCCUGAUCGAAGCCCCGGUAAACGGCGGCCGUAACUAUAACGGUCCUAAGGUAGCGAAAUUCCUUGUCGGGUAAGUUCCGACCUGCACGAAUGGCGUAAUGAUGGCCAGGCUGUCUCCACCCGAGACUCAGUGAAAUUGAACUCGCUGUGAAGAUGCAGUGUACCCGCGGCAAGACGGAAAGACCCCGUGAACCUUUACUAUAGCUUGACACUGAACAUUGAGCCUUGAUGUGUAGGAUAGGUGGGAGGCUUUGAAGUGUGGACGCCAGUCUGCAUGGAGCCGACCUUGAAAUACCACCCUUUAAUGUUUGAUGUUCUAACGUGGACCCGUUACCCGGGUUGCGGACAGUGUCUGGUGGGUAGUUUGACUGGGGCGGUCUCCUCCUAAAGAGUAACGGAGGAGCACGAAGGUUGGCUAAUCCUGGUCGGACAUCAGGAGGUUAGUGCAAUGGCAUAAGCCAGCUUGACUGCGAGCGUGACGGCGCGAGCAGGUGCGAAAGCAGGUCAUAGUGAUCCGGUGGUUCUGAAUGGAAGGGCCAUCGCUCAACGGAUAAAAGGUACUCCGGGGAUAACAGGCUGAUACCGCCCAAGAGUUCAUAUCGACGGCGGUGUUUGGCACCUCGAUGUCGGCUCAUCACAUCCUGGGGCUGAAGUAGGUCCCAAGGGUAUGGCUGUUCGCCAUUUAAAGUGGUACGCGAGCUGGGUUUAGAACGUCGUGAGACAGUUCGGUCCCUAUCUGCCGUGGGCGCUGGAGAACUGAGGGGGGCUGCUCCUAGUACGAGAGGACCGGAGUGGACGCAUCACUGGUGUUCGGGUUGUCAUGCCAAUGGCACUGCCCGGUAGCUAAAUGCGGAAGAGAUAAGUGCUGAAAGCAUCUAAGCACGAAACUUGCCCCGA
RNAcentral lists this ribosomal RNA (1324 nucleotides) under Salmonella enterica. RNAcentral describes it as "partial 23S ribosomal RNA". It matches the Rfam family "Bacterial large subunit ribosomal RNA", at positions 1500 to 2802 of the family's 2925-position model. RNAcentral also lists the same sequence under 1 other name. Lineage: Bacteria; Pseudomonadati; Pseudomonadota; Gammaproteobacteria; Enterobacterales; Enterobacteriaceae. The record is from RNAcentral.